This 332-nucleotide long non-coding RNA is filed under the name Hordeum vulgare. RNAcentral describes it as "long non-coding RNA (HVUL_LNC003347)". Lineage: Eukaryota; Viridiplantae; Streptophyta; Magnoliopsida; Poales; Poaceae. The record is from RNAcentral.
GGGAACCCACCGUACCAACACGAUUGGCUGGUGUUGCUGAUACCGGACCCGUUAUAACCCCGAUUGGAAGGGCAGGCCAGUCUGGGCAGAGUCUUGUUCCUGGAGUCGCUCACAACUUUUGGGAGCACCGAGAUCCUGAAUAAGAUGCUGCACGAAUUGGCUGAGGUCAACCCCGCCCCGUUAUGUUAUGUUAUGGAAGAAUUUAGCUUCUUGCUGGGCUGGUUAUUCAGAGCCAGCAACUGGCUGCCGGAUUCCACCUGGCUAGAAGCUGGCUAGAAGAUCGAAUUUCUUGGUAUUUCCUAUCAUUUCACAACCUACUUGUUUUCUUAGUU